UCUAAUUACAAUGGGUUGCAUUGCAGUUACUUGUGCCACAUUUUGCAUCUUUCGUAUUUACAUUUACACUGCUGCUCUCGUGGUUUUUUCCUCAUAUCGUUUCUCAGUUACAGUGGGGACUGCCCUAUAGUAACCAGUGCAAAACUCGGACUUAAGUAACAAAAGGAAUAAAUAAAAAAUCCGUUUCACAUGUUUUUUAAUCAGAAUUAAAAAGCUAAUAUACAACAUUGAAAACAAAGGUUCACACUGUAGUUUGUAUAUGCGGGUUUUUACUGUAGGCGACGAUUGCUCUGUUUAAGCAUUGUUUUUUUUUGUAAUCCCGCAAUUACUAUUAUUAUUAUGGUUGUUAUUGCUAUUGUAAUUGUCGCGCUUAAGGUUUUUAACGUUAAAUAUUGCUUUCUUGUUGAUGUUUUAUAAUACUUGAACUAUAACGCCAAUUAGAUGCUAUUUCAGUUGGCAAAAUGUUAAAUCAAAACCUGGAAAAGCAUUAAGUGACCUUGCCUAAAGUCGAUGGAAACAUAACAAAAAAUACGAAAGGAAAUUCAAUUUACACUGGAAUUAAGUUAAAUAUUAUUUGAGAUUAAUAGUUUUUCAACAACACAGCUACACCAUGGGGGAAAGGGAGGGAAGAUAGAAGAAUUUAAUCCGAUUUGUGUAGCAACCUCUCGCUCUUUCUCUUUCUUUCCUUCGCUCUCCCCCACACAAAUACACGCACACACAUACAUAUAUUCUACGAGAGAGCGAGAGCGAAAUAUGUAAAUACAGCCUGUUGCAUUUGUGUGUGUAUUUCGCAUUUCGUUUUCAGGCACUUUUCCGCACAUUUUUGAUUGCUUUUAGUGCGUUUUUCCGUGCAGUUUUCCUCACUUUUCCACACAGGCAAUUGGAAAUACACACCAGCACACUCGAAACACACACAAACGCACGCACUCGCACACAGUUUGCAUGAAGUAUUGCAUUUUCUUUUUGGACUGAAAGAUACGCAAAUUCCAGCUGCAAACGUUGCAUUUUCACCAGGCAUUUUCCACAUUUACCUUCGCUCCUU
Drosophila elegans is the source of this 1042-nucleotide long non-coding RNA. RefSeq lists it as uncharacterized. NCBI's taxonomy places the organism in Eukaryota, Metazoa, Arthropoda, Insecta, Diptera, Drosophilidae. The record is from RefSeq and is a predicted model, not a curated record. The transcript has 3 exons.